RNAcentral lists this ribosomal RNA (921 nucleotides) under uncultured bacterium. RNAcentral describes it as "bacterial SSU rRNA". It matches the Rfam family "Bacterial small subunit ribosomal RNA", at positions 1 to 916 of the family's 1533-position model. The record is from RNAcentral.
AGAAGUUUGAUUCCUGGUCUCAGAUUGGAACGCUGGCGGCAUUGCUUAACACAUGCAAGUCGAAACGGUACCAGACCCUUUGGGGGUGCUGACGAGUGGCGGACGGGUGAGUAACACAUAGGAAAUCGACCCAGCCGUGGGGGGAUAACCUGGGGAAACUCAGGCUAAUACCGCAUACGCUGUGAGCAGGAAAAGCGGGGGACCUUAUGGCCUCGCGCGGGUGGCCGAGCUAUGUCGGAUUAGCUAGUUGAUAGGGUAAGGGCCUACCAAGGCGACGAUCCGUAGCGGGUCUGAGAGGAUGACCCGCCACACUGGGACUGAGACACGGCCCAGACUCCUACGGGAGGCCGCAGUGGGGAAUCUUGGACAAUGGGCGCAAGCCUGAUCCAGCAAUGCCGCGUGGGUGAAGACGGCCUGCGGGUUGUAAAGCCCUUUUGGUGGGGAGGAAAGCCCUGAGUUGAACAGGCUCAGGGGGUGACGGUACCCGCCGAAGAAGCACCGGCCAACUCCGUGCCAGCAGCCGCGGUAAGACGGAGGGUGCGAGCGUUAAUCGGAAUUACUGGGCGUAAAGCGCACGUAGGCGGUGGUGUCAGUCCGUUGUGAAAGCCCCGGGCUUAACCUGGGAAUGGCAAGGGCGACGGCAGCACUGGAGUGUAACAGAGGACCGUGGAAUUCCCGGUGUAGCGGUGAAAUGCGUAGAGAUCGGGAAGAACACCGAUGGCGAAGGCAGCGGUUUGGGUUAACACUGACGCUCAGGGGCGACAGCGUGGGGAGCAAACAGGAUUAGAUACCCUGGUAGUCCACGCCGUAAACGAUGAGAACUAGACGCUGGGCAGGUCACUGCUCGGUGUCGCAGCUAACGCGUGAAGUUCUCCGCCUGGGGAGUACGGCCGCAAGGUUGAAACUCAAAUGAAUUGACGG